This 548-nucleotide ribosomal RNA is filed under the name Citrobacter amalonaticus. Its description in RNAcentral is "partial 23S ribosomal RNA". It matches the Rfam family "Bacterial large subunit ribosomal RNA", at positions 2251 to 2798 of the family's 2925-position model. The record is from RNAcentral. RNAcentral also lists the same sequence under 1 other name. Lineage: Bacteria; Pseudomonadati; Pseudomonadota; Gammaproteobacteria; Enterobacterales; Enterobacteriaceae.
ACAGUGUCUGGUGGGUAGUUUGACUGGGGCGGUCUCCUCCUAAAGAGUAACGGAGGAGCACGAAGGUUAGCUAAUCCUGGUCGGACAUCAGGAGGUUAGUGCAAAGGCAUAAGCUAGCUUGACUGCGAGCGUGACGGCGCGAGCAGGUGCGAAAGCAGGUCUUAGUGAUCCGGUGGUUCUGAAUGGAAGGGCCAUCGCUCAACGGAUAAAAGGUACUCCGGGGAUAACAGGCUGAUACCGCCCAAGAGUUCAUAUCGACGGCGGUGUUUGGCACCUCGAUGUCGGCUCAUCACAUCCUGGGGCUGAAGUAGGUCCCAAGGGUAUGGCUGUUCGCCAUUUAAAGUGGUACGCGAGCUGGGUUUAGAACGUCGUGAGACAGUUCGGUCCCUAUCUGCCGUGGGCGCUGGAGAAUUGAGGGGGGCUGCUCCUAGUACGAGAGGACCGGAGUGGACGCAUCACUGGUGUUCGGGUUGUCAUGCCAAUGGCACUGCCCGGUAGCUAAAUGCGGAAGAGAUAAGUGCUGAAAGCAUCUAAGCACGAAACUUGCC